GCACUACAGGAGGUGGGGGCUGACCCAGCACGGACGCACCCUGCCCACGCUUGGUGCAAACAGCAAGAAUUCGGCGUGCCUCACUCAGCCCAGGGAGCUAUGCACAGUGUAACCAGGAACUGCUGCCUGCUGACUGCUAACAGUCCACGCGGCCAUGCAGGAGAGAGUCUGCCCACAGAAGAAGAAGCAACUGGGCACACGAUGCACUUGUGAGAAGAGGCACCUUCCUGCAAAGAACGUGUGCAGAAAGGAUUUGCUUUGUUAGCCCAAAACCACCUCAGAAAGCCUAAGUCUAAACUGACCCAAAAGUGCUGACUGAAGGAAGGAAUGCUAGCAGGGCACACUGGCAUGAGCACAAGGAUAUAUUAGCUGCACACGAAUAAAACUAAUUUGGAAAUUAGAUUAAGAUGUCAAGCCACAGAGCAGUUUUGCUCUGAAACAGCCUUCCAACCCAAGAAACAACACAGAUGGACCCUGUUCUGUGUAUGAGUUAUAUAUGACACGGUGAGGCUGGCAGUGACAGCCAAGGAUGCAAUUUCAUGCCCCCAGAAUGUCACCUUUAGGUCUAUGAACUUCCCUUUGGUUUACCAGGAGCCAACACAAAUCCUCUUGGUGAACACACAGAUUGUCACCUUUCUGUGCCUCGUUUGUACAUACGUACAAUCAGGGAGGUAGUAAUUUACUCUUGGAAGACUUGCUCUGGAGUUUUACUUCCUCAACACCUGUAGGUUGCUUGGAGGUGGCUGCAUGGAAGCUGCAACAGAAACCCAAUUAACUCCUCAAUGAAAAUUCUGCUUUUGGACACUGCUUGCCUGUACUGAACCCAGACCUGUGCACUAACCAAUCUCCUUCUCAUCUGUUUCUGAUUGUAUCAUACCAUCUUCAUCAAGGUCACCAGUGCUUAGCAACACUAUCAGAGAUGUACCAGCAGUAAAACAUCAACAACAGUUGUAUCACUUCUGAUAUGAAAAAGUACACCCAUAGGUUCAGCCAUCAAAACCAGAUAACAUGUCAGUGACUCACACUGCAGUGAUAUACUUCCUCCUAAUUUUUCUCCCACAGAAGGUAGUUCCAUAUAGGUUUGUAGUGAAUUCAGCUGGCUCUUCUCUUCUACUCCAGUAGGACGGAAAGUAUAAAACAAGCAUUGUUGAAAGAAUCACAGGUGGAGGUUGCUGUUAAUAACAACAACAACAAAAAAAAAAAAGGAUAGGAGGUGCCUACAGUUAAAAAGAAGCGUGCUGGCCCUUGGUCUUGGCGCUGAGCUCCUAUCUGCUCGCUGAACGCUGAGCUGUCCAGCAUCCCAAAUCUGCUCACUGUUAAAUUCAGCUGCUGCUGAGUGCAGUCACUGCAAGAAGUGAGAAAUGAAGUAGCCUGAAGAAAUCAGCCUGGAGCUUGUUUCCAGACUGACAAGGAUGGCAAAUAUCUCACCUAGUGGUACCCCUACUUUGUCAUCCAUGCUUUGUGUUUAAGCUGCUACCGGUGGCAUCCAGCCUCCAUGAUUCCAGUGACCACCCACUGUGUGCAGGGGAGGUUUAU
This is a long non-coding RNA of Gallus gallus (chicken), 1536 nucleotides long. RefSeq lists it as uncharacterized. The record is from RefSeq and is a predicted model, not a curated record. The transcript is spliced from 3 exons. NCBI's taxonomy places the organism in Eukaryota, Metazoa, Chordata, Aves, Galliformes, Phasianidae.